RNAcentral lists this ribosomal RNA (448 nucleotides) under uncultured bacterium. RNAcentral's name for it is "partial 16S ribosomal RNA". It matches the Rfam family "Bacterial small subunit ribosomal RNA", at positions 330 to 794 of the family's 1533-position model. The record is from RNAcentral.
ACCAGACUCCUACGGGAGGCAGCAGUGGGGGAUAUUGCACAAUGGGGGAAACCCUGAUGCAGCGACGCCGCGUGUGGGAAGACGGUCUUCUGGAUUGUAAACCACUGUCCCCAGGGACGAAAAUGACGGUACCUGGGGAGGAAGCUCCGGCUAACUACGUGCCAGCAGCCGCGGUAAUACGUAGGGAGCAAGCGUUGUCCGGAAUUACUGGGUGUAAAGGGAGCGUAGACGGCGACGCAAGUCUGGAGUGAAAGCCCGGGGCCCAACCCCGGGACUGCUCUGGAAACUGCGGCGCUGGAGUACGGGAGGGGCAGGCGGAAUUCCUGGUGUAGCGGUGAAAUGCGUAGAUAUCAGGAGGAACACCGGCAGCGAAGGCGGCCUGCUGGACCGUGACUGACGUUGAGGCUCGAGAGCGUGGGGAGCAAACAGGAUUAGAUACCCCAGUACU